GAUGAAGAACGUAGCGAAAUGCGAUACGUGAUGUGAAUUGCAGAAUUCAGUGAAUCAUCGAAUCUUUGAACGCAUAUUGCGCUCUCUGGUAUUCCGGAGAGCAUGCUUGUUUGAGUAUCAGUAAACACCUCAACUCUUUUUUCUUUUUUGAAAUUGGAGCUGGACUUGAGUGAUCCCAACGCUUUCUUCCAAGAAAGUGGCGGGUUGCUUGAAAUGCAGGUGCAGCUGAACUUUUCUCUGAGCUAUAAGCAUAUCUAUUUAGUCUGCCUAAAAAACAGAUUAUUACCUUUGCUGCAGCUAACAUAAAGGAGACUAGUUCUUGUGCUGACUGAUGCAGGAUUCACAGAGACAGCUUCGGCUGACUUUGUAAACUCGAUCUCAAAUCAAGUAAGACUACCCGCUGAACUUAAGCAUAUCAAUAAGCGGAGGA
RNAcentral lists this unclassified non-coding RNA (430 nucleotides) under soil metagenome. RNAcentral's name for it is "partial contains 5.8S ribosomal RNA, internal transcribed spacer 2, and large subunit ribosomal RNA". The stretch from base 1 to 120 matches the Rfam family "5.8S ribosomal RNA", at positions 35 to 154 of the family's 154-position model. The record is from RNAcentral.